GGGCGCGACUUGCCCUCAGCUCCCCACCUCCCCGUCCCGGGGCGACAGUGACAUAAGCAAAUCUGGGCAGAGAGGUGGAAGUCAGGUCCCUGUGGACGUGGGAGGCGGUCCCUUCCUCUUUUGGCUCCAAAGUGCGAAAGGAGGCAGACACAGCGGUCUCCAUUACAGCCAGGGCAAGGGGGCUAAUAGCUCCCUAGAACUGAUGGAAGUCUCCAUUCUGGGAAGCAUUUCUUAUUCCUAUCGAGGUUUUAAAAACACCUGGCGAUGGUCCUCUGGAAAUUGAGGGUUUAAAAUUUCAGCAAGAGCUGAAGUUAAACUUCCAGAAACAUUUACUAUAUAUAGGUUUAGUGCUUAAGAAACAAAGAGUGGGUGUCCUGGGAUUUUGAAAACCCCAUUCUGGGUAGGGCAUUAGGACUGUAGGGACAGAGAAGGUGGGGUGCCUUUCCUCCCCAUCAUAAGGAUCACAGCUGACAUGCCUGUAGAAAAAGGUUAGCAAGAGAAAAGCAUAACGAUUUAUUUAAUUAAAGUUUUCUGUGACAUGAGAGUCUUCAGAAAUGAAGACCCAAAGACUCAAGGAAAACUCUAUUUUUAGGCUUAGAUUCUAUGAAGACCAUGGAAAUGCGCAGAAAUGUGAGUGGGGAAAAAGGGAAUGGUCUAAUAGUAAUAAACUGAGUGGGAAACCCAGCAAGGCUUGUCUGUUCGUAUUCUUCUUGGCCUAUCUGUGGCCAAACCACCUGGCUUAGAAGCAGAAAAUAAAUUUGCUCCCUGUGUAGUCUUUAACAUGUUGCAGUUACUCUCUGGGCCUCAGUUUCCUCAGCUAUGUAAUGAUGGGAUUGAUUAGUGAUCUCCAGUGCCCUUCUGGCUCUGGCUAGAUGACUUGUUUCUAAAGUAAGUGACAGACGGAGACCAGGAGUCCUUUGAGAAUAGGGCCCAUAAUCACCACCUGGCACAGGGCCUAGCACACAAGAGAUGUAAAGUAUUUGCUGACUUAAUCAUUCAUUACAUUAAAAAAACAAAAUCUCCAUGGAACACUUAGGAUCAGACCAGGCAGUUCUAGGGCUGGGCUGUCUAGGUAUGAUCCCGUUCACAGAUGGGGAAUGUGAUGGAAUCAGUCUCAAAUCUCUCUGACCACCAGAGUCAACUGGGAAGCCUUUAAUACAGAUUCCUGGACCCCACUUUGGAAUCACUGCAUUAGAAUCUCUAGGGGCAGAAGCUGAAAAUCUGUCUUCAGACAUGUUCUAAGGUUAUUGUGAGGCAGUUGGCCUGGCUGUAGCCUUGGUAGUGUGAGUCCUAGGAUUAAGUGCCUUCUGGAACUUUCUUCUGACCAAGAAAUGCCUUGAGAAACCAUACCUUUACUAUGAUUAAAGGUAUUAACAUCCCCCUGGGAAUUUGGAAGAUGUCUCUCAAGUUUUGCAUUCUCUACGAAGUCUUCCCACCUCAAACCACAGCCUGUUGAAGUGGAAGGAACCACAGAGGCCAGGAAGUCUUUAGCUGAGUUAAAGCCUGGGAGCAUAUGAACAAUGGCUGACACACAGAUAAAGCUGAAGGUUCAAACAAGUGGUGGAAGGAGUAUGGAAAUUAAUCUUGUGGAAGUGGUUCUCUGUGUGAGAAACAUCGGCCUGACCACCUGACUUUCUGAUCACAUUCCACUGGGAAAAAGUCCAAGGAACAUCCCUAUCACAUUCUGCUGGAACAAGGACCAAGUCACCUCAUCAUGGGAACAUCUUAUCAAUAGCCUGUUGGGCAGCAAGCCAUACUGCCCAGACCCCUCCCUCCCAUACCUGCAAAGGCCCAACUAAAGAAACCUCCCUAUCCUGUCUUACUGGGCAAAGGCCCAAGGAACACCAUGAUGACAUCCCACCAGAAAAAGGGUCAAACCACCCUAUCAUGGGUACAUCUUAUUGAUAUCCUGCCGGGCAGCAAGCCACACUAUCCAGA
Molecule: long non-coding RNA, 1938 nt
Filed under: Homo sapiens (human)
Lineage: Eukaryota; Metazoa; Chordata; Mammalia; Primates; Hominidae
Description: HSALNT0330249
Source: RNAcentral